AAGUCGUAACAAGGUCUCCGUUGGUGAACCAGCGGAGGGAUCAUUACCGAGUUUACAACUCCCAAACCCCUGUGAACAUACCUAUACGUUGCCUCGGCGGAUCAGCCCGCGCCCCGUAAAACGGGACGGCCCGCCCGAGGACCCUAAACUCUGUUUUUAGUGGAACUUCUGAGUAAAACAAACAAAUAAAUCAAAACUUUCAACAACGGAUCUCUUGGUUCUG
RNAcentral lists this unclassified non-coding RNA (223 nucleotides) under Fusarium equiseti. RNAcentral's name for it is "partial internal transcribed spacer region". The stretch from base 1 to 46 matches the Rfam family "Eukaryotic small subunit ribosomal RNA", at positions 1786 to 1831 of the family's 1831-position model. Lineage: Eukaryota; Fungi; Ascomycota; Sordariomycetes; Hypocreales; Nectriaceae. The record is from RNAcentral. RNAcentral also lists the same sequence under 2 other names.